RNAcentral lists this transfer RNA (73 nucleotides) under bacterium. Its description in RNAcentral is "tRNA-Ala". It matches the Rfam family "tRNA". From Rfam's summary of the family: Transfer RNA (tRNA) molecules are approximately 80 nucleotides in length. The record is from RNAcentral. RNAcentral also lists the same sequence under 1 other name.
GGGGCUAUGGCGCAGUUGGGAGCGCGUCUGACUGGCAGUCAGAAGGUCGAGGGUUCGAAUCCCUCUAGCUCCA